Molecule: ribosomal RNA, 482 nt
Filed under: uncultured bacterium
Lineage: Bacteria
Description: bacterial SSU rRNA
Rfam family: Bacterial small subunit ribosomal RNA
Source: RNAcentral
CGUGCCUAACACAUGCAAGUCGAACGAAGCACUCUGGUUGGAGAUCGUCGAAGACCGGAUUGACUUAGUGGCGGACGGGUGAGUAAUGUAUGAGCAACCUGCCUUUCAGAGGGGGACAACAGUUGGAAACGACUGCUAAUACCGCAUAAUGUAUUUGGGUGGCAUCACCUGGAUACCAAAGGAGCAAUCCGCUGAAAGAUGGGCUCAUAUCUGAUUAGUUAGUUGGCAGGGUAACGGCCUACCAAGACUGCGAUCAGUAGCCGGACUGAGAGGUUGAACGGCCACAUUGGGACUGAGAUACGGCCCAGACUCCUACGGGGAGGCAGCAGGUGGGGAAUAGUUGGGCAAUGGGCGAAAGCCUACGACCCAGCAACGCCGCGUGAAGGAAGAAGGUCUUCGGAUUGUAAACUUCUUUUAUGAGGGACGAAGGACGUGACGGUACCUCAUGAAUAAGCCACGGCUAACUACGUGCCAGCCGCAGC